UACGGGGGGGGUAAGCGUUGUUCGGAAUUACUGGGCGUAAAGGGCGCGUAGGCGGUCCUGAUCGUCGGAUGUGAAAGGCCUGGGCUCAACCUGGGAACUGCAUCCGAUACGGCGGGACUGGAGUGUGGGAGAGGUUGGUGGAAUUCCCAGUGUAGAGGUGAAAUUCAUAGAUAUUGGGAAGAACACCGGUGGCGAAGGCGGCCAACUGGACCACAACUGACGCUGAGGCGCGAAAGCGUGGGGAGCAAACAGG
RNAcentral lists this ribosomal RNA (253 nucleotides) under uncultured bacterium. RNAcentral describes it as "partial 16S ribosomal RNA". It matches the Rfam family "Bacterial small subunit ribosomal RNA", at positions 524 to 776 of the family's 1533-position model. The record is from RNAcentral.